AUGAUUUGAUUUUGCCCUAGUGCUUCAAAAUCACCCACAGAAAUUUAAGGAUCACAUGCAUAUACUCAUAAGCUCCAAGCUCCUGGCGCAUAUACCAAAUUAAUCAGGGGUGGGGGCCAUGGUGGGGAGGGUGCCCAUGUGGCCCAGGAGGAGGUGCAUGGGCAUGAGGACCAGGCGGUGGUGCAUGAGCAUGAGGACCAGGCGGUGGUGCUGCUGGACCAGGAGGUGAAGGAGAUGGAUGAGCAUGUGGUGGCGGAGAAGGUCCGGGAUGCGGUGGACCCGGGUGGUGGUGAGGGCCUGGGCCUCCUGGUCCUGGUGGUGGUGGAUUAGGCAUAUGUUCCUCAACUGAUGAAUUUGUGGAGGAGAUGAAUUAGUGACAAUGGGUUUAAACAAUUGAAACCACUGCUUUGAUUAAUAUAGGGGAUCAUAGAAAGAAAGAGCCCUUAUCUUAUCUUCAGCAAUCCAUCAGUCAAUGCCCAAUUUUACUUUCUGUUAGGCAACUAACAUUCUUCAAUUUGUGUAGGUGAGAGUGGAAAAUCCUGUAAUUUUAUUAAAAUGGCGAAUGAAAGUUCUACCCUGCUUACUAUUUACUGCGUGUGAUGAUGCAAAUUUAUAAAGCCAUCUAGAAGCUAGUGCUUAAUUUUCAAUGUGUGCAUAAUAUAUUUUUGGUCUAAGGAAAAAAAUUAUACAUUGAGAAAUAUGACAUGACAUGACUUUUUAGUGUACUGAAAAGAUAAAUUUACAUCUAGAUUUAGUCGAUCACCUUCUGACAUAUUAUUUUAUAAUAGUUUUUAAUUAUCAUUAACAUUUAUAGCAGUUAAAAACUAUCACUAAAAUGUAUGGUUGUAAUGUGUUGAGAAAAAAUCAUAUGUCGAUGUAUCACCGCUCUUUAUUAUAUAUAACCCCAAUUACCUUUGGCCCAAAUAUGUUUGGUUUUGACGAAAACGAAAUGAAUGAAUGGAGAAGAAUAGAAAAUAAUACUGAUAUUAAUGUAUUUAGAAACACAAAAGCAUUCAUCCAUGAAUCUUAACCCAAUCCACUGAAUGGCUCUCCUAGGGUUAGGGAGGCGGCCGCCAAACAAGGUUUUGUUUAUCCAAGGUUGAUCACCACGUUUUACUUCUCUCUUUUGACUAAACGCUGACCCUGUCUGGUGAACCAUAUUCUUUUCUGCGUCUAUUGCAUGCAACAGAGGUUUUUUCUGCUAUCAAGACUGUACGAAGGCCGAUCAUGGCGUUUAAUGGUGAUGUUCCGAUUCUGAACUGGGAAGAGGAGGAGAAUGUCGUUCUUGACCUAGGUGAGGCUGAGGUUGACCCGCAGCUCGGUGCGAAUGUCUGGCUCGUUGGGAAGGUGUUGUCCCCGAACAAGGUUACGACACCUAUUUUUAGAAGCGUCAUGCUUAGGCUCUGGGAGACAAGGAACGUGAAGGAGAUACGACAUGUUGGCCCUAAUCUUUUUGCUUUUGAGUUUGGCAAAACAAAAGACAGAGAUUUGUUUCUGCGAUCUGGUCCGUGGCUCUUUGAUCGUCACCUGGUGGUGCUGGAUGUUUUUGACAUCACCAAGGAUCCCAUGCAAGUGCCCUUGACCAAAGUUCCUCUCUGGGUACAGGUUCAUGGGCUCCCGUACACGAUGAGAUCAGAACGGAUAGCGAAGAGUUUGGGGGAAUCUUUCGCCGGCUACCUGGGUUGGGACAAAUAUGAGGCACACAGGUAUGGGUACUGCUUGCGGAUUAGAGCUUGGGUGGAUGUGACUACGCCGCUGCGGCGAGGUCAACUCGUAGCAACUAGAGGAGAAGCCCCCCUAAGGGUAACGUUUAAAUAUGAAAAGAUAGUCAAUAUUUGUUACCGUUGUGGGAAACUAGACCACGUUCUCCGAAACUGUGCGGUGGAGGGGAAUGGUGGUGCUCUCCGUUUUGGUGCUUGGAUGAGAGCUGAGGAUGAUCACCCUGUUGGAGGUUACCGUGGGGGAGAAAAUAAAGGAUACAUACAGCCCAAUGAGGAUGGAAAGGAACCCUAUGAGGAAGAUGGAGAUUAUGUUGAGGAGGAGGAACUGGAACCUGAAUCAGAUUUGGUGCAAAAUUGUGACGGAGGGAACAAAAAUUUGAACGAACACGAGGAGGGAGAAAACUGUGAGCUUGCUGCCACUUAUAGUAAGGAGGACACAGUUUACUUGCAAAAAAACACAUGUAGGUGGUGAAGGUAAACAAAAGGAGACCAAGCAGCACUUAGAUGGAAAAGUUUUUAAUUUUGGGGCCCAAAAAUCACGUGGCUUCCAGACCAAAAUGGGGCCAGUGGCAAGGGAUAUGAGAAGAGGCAGAAACAUGGGAAUUAAUAGAAGGGAAAGUGGUGAUGGAUUUGAAAAUCAUGGCUUACCAAGAAAGCGGGCAGGUGGACCAUCUUCUACAUUUGCUCAGCAGCGCACGGGGUUCUCUCCCCCACUGAAGAAGAUAAAUAAUUCUGAUGGAUUGGGGAUGGCGGGCACUGCUGAGCAGUCCCGCCCACCUCAAUGAGGAUUUUAGCUUGGAACUGUCGGGGGUUGGGGAGCAUCCUGGCAGUUCGAGCCCUUGGUAGGCUCAUUCAGUCUGAAGCUCCCGGCAUAGUGUUCGCGAUGGAGACAAAAUGGUACGAGUAUGAGGCACAACGUCAUAGAGGCUUGGGAGGCCUUCCAAAUGUCUUUCCGGUUCAAUGUGCAGGCCAAGGACAUUCGCGAGCAGGAGGUUUAUGUUUGUUUUGGGGUCCAGCAGUGGACGUUACCAUUAUUUCAAGUUCUUUGAAUCAUAUUUAUUUUACUGCUACUCAUGUGGAGGAGCAGAAGGUCAUGCAGAUUUUGGGGAUUUAUGGCUUCCCCGAUGAGAGGAGGAGAGUUGAUACUUGGGGUCUGGUUAAGAGACUGUUGGUUGACACUGCUAUCCCUGCGCUCUGUGUAGGGGAAUUCAAUGAUUGUCUUUCUCCGCAGGAUAAGUUGGGAGGAGACCCCCUUGAUCUUCAGCAUAUACAGAGGAUGGCUAAAGUCAGAACCGAAUGCAAUUUGCAGGAGGUGGAUUUUACAGGAUACAGGUAUACAUGGUCUAAUAAUAGGGCACCAGAUACAAUCGAGGAGAGGCUAGAUUAUGCGCUUACAAAUGACGCCUGGGAUGAAUUGUGGCCUUCAACGGUGGUUCACCAUUUACCCAGGUAUAAAUCUGAUCAUAAUCCUAUUUUACUAACUUGUGGUGUUCGCAGGAAUAGAGAAGAGAUAGGCCGAGCAAAAAUUUUCCGAUUUGAGGAGAUGUGGCUCCAAGAAGGACAAGAGUGUGCUGAGAUAGUGACAGAGACUUGGUGUAGACUGCGAAAUGACCUCCCCACCAAAAUAGCUGAGGUGGGAGGGGCCCUAAAGUGUUGGGGAAAAGACAAGUUUGGUGAUAUUCCCAGGAAGAUUUCUGAUCAGAAAGCCCUAUUGCAAGACUUGCAAAGAAAGGAUCAAACAACGGAGGUGCUGAGUGCCGCGUCAGUGGUUGAAAAAGAGCUUGAUAGUUUGCUGGAACAAGAGGAAAAGUGGUGGCGCCAACGUUCUAGAGCCACCUAGUUAAAGUGCGGAGAUAAGAAUACCAGUUUUUUCCAUAAAAAAGCAACUCAGCGGCGAAAGAGGAAUAUGAUAGAGAAAAUAGAGGAUGAUGGAGGAUGUGAAUAUGUCCAUGAUCGUGACAUUGCAAGAGUUUUAAAAAAUUAUUUUAUGAACUUGUUCUCUACUUCUAACCCUGACAGGAUUGAGGAGACCACAUCUUUGGUAGCAAACAGGCUGUCAGACUCUCAUUUGUAGGUUCUUGCUGAUCCUUUUACAAAGGAAGAUGUAGAAGAGGCCUUGUUCCAAAUGCAUCCGACCAAAGCUCCGGGAGCGGAUGGCUUCCCGGCGCUUUUCUACCAGCGGUUUUGGGAUGUCAUUGGGGACGAUGUAGCAGAGUUCUAUUUGCAGAUUUUGCAUGGGCUUGUGUCGCCAGGUAUUAUCAAUCAUACGAUGAUUGUUCUCAUUCCUAAGGUUAAGAAAGCUGUUAAUGCGACCCAGUUUAGGCCUAUUAGUUUGUGUAUUGUUCUGUUUAAUAUUGUGACUAAGGUGAUAGCAAAUAGGCUGAAAAAUAUUUUACCUGAUUUAAUUUGCGAAUCCCAAAGUGCAUUUGUACCAGGACGUAUGAUCACAGAUAAUGCUCUCAUUUCUUAUGAGUGUUUUCACUUUAUGAAGAAAAGAACUAAUGGCCGGAAUGGCACGAUGGCGCUGAAAUUGGAUAUGUCCAAAGCGUACGACCGGAUCGAAUGGUCUUUUUUGAGUUUUUUAAUGACAUCUAUGGGUUUUCCACAUAAUUGGGUGAAUUUAAUUAUGAGUUGUGUAUCAACGAUAUCUUUUUCCAUUAUGUUGAACGGUAACCCGUAGGAAAAUUUUGUCCCUAAUAGAGGUUUAAGACAAGGGGAUCCGCUUUCUCCUUAUCUUUUUAUCUUGUGUGGGGAGAUGUUUUCUGCUUUGAUUAAUAGAUCCAUUGCUUCAAAAGCACUUUCUGGAAUUAAAAUAGCGAGGAAUGCUCCUGUUAUUUCACAUUUGCUUUUUGCAGAUGAUAGUAUCCUCUUUGGUAGAGCACCAGUACAGGAGGCGGAAUGCCUAAAAGAGAUUUUAGUGACUUAUGAACGUGCUUCCGGGCAAGUAGUCAACCUUGACAAGUCAAUGCUCUCAGUGAGCCGAAACGUGCAGCAAACCAGUUUUGAUGAGCUUAAGCAUCUAUUGGGAGUAAAGGUCGUAGAGAGCUAUGACAAGUACUUGGGGCUACCAACAAUUAUUGGUAAGUCAAAACGACAAAUUUUCAAUUUUGUUAAGGCAAGAGUGUGGAAAAAGUUAAAAGGUUGGAAGGAAAAUUUUCUUUCACGAGCCGGGAGGGAAGUUUUAAUUAAAUCAGUGGCGCAAGCCAUUCCCUCUUAUGUUAUGUCCUGUUUUCUUUUACCUGACGGCCUGUGUGCAGAUAUUAAUAGCAUGAUCUCCAACUUCUUUUGGGGAGGAGAUGUAUCUCAGAAGGGGAUGCAUUGGACAAAGUGGAACAAGUUGUGCAAAAACAAAUUGGAGGGUGGUCUUGGAUUCCGGGACUUCAAGGCUUUUAAUAUAGCUCUGGUGGCGAAAAAUUGGUGGAGAAUCUAUUCCAAUCCAGAAGCAUUAGUUGCUCAAGUUUUUAAAGGUGUUUAUUUCCAGAGUGGUGAUAUGUGGGGAGCAAAAAAAGGCUAUCGACCGAGCUAUGCAUGGUCAAGCAUUCAUAAAUCGGCUUGGGUUUUUCAGAGAGGUGGUUUAUGGCGUAUUGGUAAUGGUAAGAGAAUUAAUCUGUGGACAGACAAUUGGUUGCCCGGAGGGGCACCCACUCUUUUCCGGCAGGAUGUAGUCGAGGAGCUUAAUAUACAGGUGGUCAGUAAUUUACUUGAGCCAGACACUUCCAGAUGGCACUCAGAAUUAGUGGAGCAUAUCUUUCACCCAGGGACAGCUAGGCGCAUCAUGGGAGUGCCCCUUGCUACUCAAGCACGGGAUGAUUUUCUUUGCUGGCCUUUCACCAUGGAUGGGAGGUACUCUGUUAAGACUGGUUACCAUUUUGUUUGUACUGCUUGGGAGGGUGAUGUUGUAAGACCCAAGUUUUUAAGUUUAGAAUAAGUGAAUAAAAUCCUAUUCACGAUUAGGGUUGAUGUAUCGUUAAGGGAAAACCUGGACAAAAGUUUACUAAAUGAAAUAAAUUUAUGAAGGAGAAAGUUCAGGAAAAGUCUAAGGAGUGUAUCGAAGUCGAUAAAAGUUAUAGCACGACUAAUAUACGCUUAAACCUAGGGCAAAAACGCUAGUAAAUAGCUAAUUUACACUUUAAGACACGAUGGAAACUAAUUCCAAAAAUCUUCAGAGAAAUGUUAGAACUUCUCUUAUUCGUCUAUAGACAAGCAUUUCGAUACGAAACCCUGGAAUGUACGAACGUCAAAUUCCAAUACUCGGAAGUUUGCCGAAACCAAAACCCUGAUAGUUCAAGAAACCUAAAAUCAACGGACGAUGAAGACUUUUUCUAUUCGGAGCUUCAAAUGAAGAUUCCACACGCGUACACCCAUUUCUCUUGAUGUUUUCAAUCUUUCUUCAGAAGGAAGUUUUCUCUUCCGACAUCCACUGCAAAAAGUAACUUAUCGGGUAAAAUAGAUUUACACCGACUUUGCAUUAUGCACCUAAAAUCCAAGGAACCUCUUUUGAGUUUUGGAAUUCUGUCGCCAAAACCUAUCUUAGAAUUCACGGAGAAUGAAGCCGGAAAAAUCGGAAUCGCGAAACUUUCAUUUUCCCGCGUUUUUCCAUCCUCUAUAUAUAGCAAGAAAAUGAGAAAAAUGGCAAAACUUCACCAUUUUCUCUCCCAAAACCCGCGAGCUUCACCAAGAGGAGGAGGAGAAGAGAUUUUCGCCAUUUCUUGCUUGAUCGUUGAUUCAACAGUUGCUACUUGAAGGUAUCGAGGUAUAGUCGCUAAUCCUUACCUCUGAUCGUCGUUUCCGUAGCUUUUCACUAUGUCUUUCUGUGCUCUUAGUUUUGAGGUUUUUGCAAAACUAUCCAGAUAACUUCAUUUUUCUAUCUAAACAUCUUCCCUACGUGCCCAAGAGCAUGUUUAGCGAAUAAUAUUACGCCGAUUCUCGAAAAACUAUCGUCGAGUUUCAAUUCUGCUUCAAAUACCCAUUUUGGGACAAAGUUUCGUCCUUUGGGCUGAAAACUAUCGCCUUAGCUUAGUGCUAGUAGGAUUAGUCGUCAUAAACGUCGUUGGUGACGUCCCCAUCCAAUUUGCUUUUCGAAAUUUCAGUUUUGAAAUUCUGAGCUAAAAAUAUUGACCAAAAUACCCCUGCGACAGUUUUCGAUCCGAUUCCGAGUUUAGAUUAACCUUAGUUACGACUAAUAAUAACCUAGGAACCAAGUUUGAUCGAAGAAAAAUCGACACACACAAUUACCAUGUGUGGCCGUGAGCACCCUAGGAGGAGGAAGAAAAUUCUUUUUUCGAAAACUUGUUCUUUCGCGCUAGAUUAUCGUACCUCGGAGUAUAUGCUACUUCGAGUAACCCUAGUAUUUAUUGUUUGCUGAGUUUCUGACUCAUUGUGAUUGAUUUCUGUGGUUUUGCUCUAAAGGUUCUUUUGAGGAAUUUCCUGAAGAGCAAGGAGUUGAUUGUGUAGGAACGUUCGAAGAGAACCCUGGAGAAUCUACAGGUGAGGGCUUCUCACUGAAGUAUUAGUUAAUGCUUUAGGUGUCGACGUAUUCGACUUGAUUUACUGUUUAUGCACUUGUUUGUGUUUGAUUGGGAAAAGUUUUCUGAGGCUUCGACUGACAAUGUAGAUGAUUCAUCUACUGACUGUUUUUGAGAUUGAAUUACAUGGUACGUGCUAAAUGGUUAAUCUAGGAUGUGUGAUAUUUGCUUUAUAUGCUAAGUGCUACGUGGUUAUUCUAGGAGAUGUUGAUAUAUGUGACAUGCUUGUUGACUGUGCUGAUUUAUCUAUGUCAUUUCACAUAUGUCUGUGGUACUGAGGAGUGAGAAUAACGGGCAGGUCAUGCCGAUUUUAUUUUGAGAUUUUGGAGAAAGUUUGAUAGGACGAACGAAGAUUCGGGCCUUGUUAUGGUCUUCGUGGAUCGAGACACUCUCGGGGAGUUAAUUGGGAUUAUGGGACUUUGGAAACUCAUAAGAUUUGCGAUAAGACUAAUGGAAACUAUUUUAUAAGGAAAAUUCAUAAGACAUUAAACAACCUCUAAAUCUUCAAAUAAUGACAACAAACUCGAAAGAAAGCUUAGGAUUCAAAUCUUAGUUUUGGAAAAGAGGGAGUGUCGUCGGAUCCAAGUGUUGAGAAAAUUAAUAAGUUCUGAGUACGUUGAUACUCUUGUGCUCGAGUAGCAGUUGUGUUGUUGGGCUAUCUGAGAGAUAAGCCGAGGAAACAGGUAGUUUCCGAGUAUGUUGAUACUCUUUGCUCGUUGAGCCGUUUUGACCAUCGGAUGGAGAUGAGUCGGAUGAUUUGGAGAUCAUCAUGAGAGAAUGUGUCGUUGUAAAGGAUUGUCUUUUGUCGCAGAAUCGACUUUACCUUAGGGUAUGUUUUUAGAGACAAUAAGUUAGCCAGAACACGUGGCGACGUGUCGAGUGAGGUCGGAGACGUUGUUUGGCUAAUCAUUUUGCAUUCAUGCACCAUUAAUGAGGUAUUAACACGAGACGAACUUCGGACCUCGGUGGAUUCCAAAAUGGUCAUAAGACCCGGAUUUCCGCGUAAGAGCGCUAUUAGGCGACUCUUAGUAGCAGACCGAAAUGGCAGGCCUUCGGGUUUUAUGCUGAUCUGACUACCGUUGUUGUUGGAGUAAGAGGCACGCGGGCCGAAAUGGUCCCACCGUGGCUGGUGCUAGGGCUGAUCCGUUGAUGUCCAUCCCUUCCGGAAUGCAUUUGGUUAACUGGGUUAACCGGCAUUUGCAUUUCACGCAACAUGCAUACUGACUUAGUUGCUGAGUGUGUUUGAUACUUGUUAAUCCUAUUUGAUGCAUGCUAUUUGUUAUUACUGUCGUUUAUAUUCAUUGUGGAAUAUGCAACCUUAGGAUGCUAUCUUUAACUUAUAAGCCUAAGCGGCUGUCUCUUAUCUGUACCUAUUGGGAUUAUUAAUUACAUAAUUCUUUGGAGUUGACCCUCGCGUCUUCUGUGUGUGCUUUGGCGGACUACGCCCUUUGUCAGAUGUCUUUAGCGGAUUGGUUCACGAUGGUCCACCCUUCGGGGGGGACUAGAUAUGAGAUGAUAGAUCAGGACGACCCCGCUAGCCAUCGAGCGACGUACUCGGGGAGGAUCAUGGAGGAUCGCGUAGACAGCGGAGGACACUUGAUGGAAGGAGUGCUGAGGAAGUGCACUGUCAGUUUCAACUUGCCGCCCGGCAUGCACUGCGAACCAGGAGUAGGAGCACCACCACCACCGUCAUCUUCUGAUGAUGAGGACCCCUCAGAGGAGGAGCCUGUGGGAGUGACUUCUUCAGAGUCCAGCUCACCCACGGUUGCUAUUAUUGACGAUCAUGGUUCGGGCCCUAAGCCCGUGAGGCCAGCACCGGAGCGCAUCGCGGUUGCGAGAGGAGGACGGAUAGUGUUCGUAGACUUGGUCGUUCUGGAUUCAGAUUCGGACGACGAUCAUGCUAGCACAUAGUUUUGAGUGCUGGUGUGAGCUCCUCGAGAUAGGAUUAGUGUAGGAGUAGAGUCUUAGCUCUGACCGUCACUGUUUUCUUUGGGGACAGGGUAGUUUCCCGCCUAUAGCUUUUUGUGUGGUUCCUCUACUGGAAUCAUAGAGAGUUGGUUGGGCUAGGAGGUCUUGUUUUAGGCCGAUUGGGCUAACUUAUUCUCAUUUUUGAAGGUUUGUGUUGCGGACACUUAGCCUUUCCUGUCGGUUUGUACAUAUUGCCUACGGGCGUUACUUUUCUUACUUCCCGUCACUGGAGGUUUACUCGUGACGUGGUUUGCUACUUACAGCGGGGGUUGUAAUUAUUAUUGUAUAUUAGUUUUGUUACCUUUUGUUGUCUAGCUUUAUUUCUUUCAGUUUUAAUUCUAUUAUCGAAAAAAAAAAAUAUAUGCACGUUUUUCCGCUUUAAGUUUCUUUUUUGUUACUAAAGUGACGCCACCGAAAUCGGUGUGUUACAGAUGUGGCCUCUUCUUCAUCACAAACCUCUCUCUCAAAGCAACAAUGGCAGAAGUUUUGGGGCUCAAGUGCGUUGCCCAGGUGCAAAGAGAUGGCUUGGAGGCUUAUUCGUGGAUUCGUACCAGUGAAUUCAGAACUGAAGCGGAGACAUAUGGAAGUAGAUGAGCAGUGCGUGUGGUGCUGUCAAGAAAAUGAGACUUUGGAGCAUGUUUUCCUCUCUUGUACAGCUGCCAAAAUGUUAUGGUUUUGCUCUCCUUUAGCUUUGAGGACAAAACAGUUCACGGUUUGAUAGACUUAUGGGUGGCGGUGCUUCAUGAUGGGGAUGCAGAUUUUAUUGGGAUGGUCCAGACCUUAUGUUACGCUCUUUGGGAAGCUAGGAACAGGUGCGGGUUUGAUCACAAGUGUUUCUCUCCGUUGGAAGCGGUGCAGCGCUCGCAAAGGCUGCUGUCUCCCCCGUGAGUGGACACGCCAGCCCCACCCUCUCGCACGGUUCAGUACACAACGUGGAGAAGGCCAGGUCGAGGGGUGUUUAUGAUCAAUUUUGAUGCCACUUUUGUUGAGGGACAACCGUCGCUAUGGUAUGGUGGCGCGAAACUUUGAAAGGGAAAUUUUGGCCUCGGCGACGGCGUAUCCCGUGGCAUCUCUUUCCCCUCUCUUGGCGGAAGCGGGUUGUUUCCGAUGGGCUCUUCGGUUGGCUAUUGAGUUGGGUUUCCGGAGGGUUGAAUUCCAGACUGAUUGCUUACAACUUUUCAAUUGGUGGAAAUCUCGUAGGGAGGGUGUUUCGUUCCUAGCUACGACUGUUCGUGAAUGUCGUUUUUUAAUUUCUGGUUUUGAUGUUUUUACUUUAUCUUUUGUAAGACGUUCUGGUAACGCAGCUGCUGACUGUUUGGCUAGGAACGCCUCUACUUACGCUGAUAUGGUGUGGGUGGACGAAGUUCCGGAUUGUGUUUUCCAUGUGGUGGCUCAGGAUGUUUUGGCUUCUAUGCCUCCUGAUGCCUAAUUUUUAUAAAAUCACUUUCAAAAAAAAAAAAAUUCGUGCAUGUUUGGAUCAGGUUUAUAGAUAAAUUUGAUUUUCAUAAAAUUGAUUAUUUAUAGUAGAAAUCAGUUAAAAAUUAAGUGACUUAUAUUUUCUUUUACAUUGGAAAAAUAAAUUGCACCCUCUAGAGAUCGAUCUUUAGACCUUUUCUCCAAACCAUAUGUCCCCAUGUUUUUACCACUUGAGUCAUCAUUCGAGGACAAAGAGGUUUAUAUUUGAAUACAUUUAUGAAAAAGUGAUUCAUGUUGAUGAGGUAAAUCAUAAUCUCGCAAUUGAUUAUUUCAAUGUAAAAGUUAUUCUCUAGCAUCUACAAGAAUUAUUUUGAAUUUAAAAUUAAUUCUCCAAAAUAUCUCAUAAGCAUCAAACUUUUAUUUAUAAUUAAUCCUACACUACCAAUAUUGAUUAUGAGUUUCCAAAUAGAAAAUCAAACACACUCCUUGUUUGAUUAGGAAGAACCAUAAGGAAAAUAAAAAACAUACUUUUCUUUCCUUUAAUUUUAAAUGAAUGUGUUAGAUGAGAAUUUGUACGUGAAAAAUUGUCCAGAAUGUAAUUCAUUUUAGUUUUCCUAGUUUUGGUUUAUGACGAUGGGUGUUUGGUUUGUCAUUGGCCUUCGGAAGUUCCGACAAAGAGGGUUGAGUCCUGAAAUAAAGCAUUGAAGAAAAAGUAAAGAUGAAAUAUGUGGAAAAAAUAAUCACAUUUAACGUCGUAUCUUAUGGAUGAAAAUCUUUUGUCCACACUUGAUAUCUUAUUCUUUUUUUUUUGAAAUAGUAUGUUAUUCUUGAUCUCACUGAAAGAAAAUGUUUCGUGUUUAUUUCAUUCAAUCAUAAGAUCGAAUAUACAAGAGUAACACAUUACAAACAAGGAAGGUCAACUAGACUACUAUGACCAAAAUUAUUAUGUUACUGACUACUAAUAUUAAAGGUACACAAAGAUCCUAAAAUUAUUUACAAAAUUAUUCUAUCAUUCACCAAUGGAAUUAUAUUUAGUAGAUCACAUGAGUAUGAUACUUAUAAAUCAUAAGGUGCUUGCUAUGGUACCUUAAGCCAGACUAAGGUGUGAUACCCAAAAUGAGUCGAUUUUAAUAAUAAAGACACAUGUACCGGUUAAAAUUUUGAUUGUGUUCUAUCGUAGUAAUGCAACGUUCCAUUCUUAGGGACGUGAGAUUUGAAAGUUGUGUUUUCUGAGCUUUGUGCAUCCACCAACCAUGGUCAUUUUACGCGCAUCUUCAUCACCAUUAUUCGUUUCCACCACUCGUACAUUUUUCAUCAAAAAAUGAAUUUCAUGAGAUAAAGUUAAUUGACAAGUAAAUUAAAAUCUAAGAGCAUCUCCAAUGGUAGGAACUUAUUUUGGGACUUAACUCAAUUUUUGUGGGCCCAAAUUGCCACAUAGGAUUUAAGACACCCAUAAGGUCUUCAUGCAUAUUUCACUCUAGUGGUUGGGAUAUUAUUUUACUUUUGACUAGACCCACAGUACCCAAUAUAUUUAUAUUAUUUAUUUCUCUCCCUAAUUUUCACUUUGGUUAUGGUAUUGAAGGAGAGAGAAAAAAAUAUUAUUUUAUUUAAGAUCCCACAUUUGAGAGUACCUGAGCUAAGGCACGGAUCUUAGCUUUUGCUAAGAUCUCAUGCCAUGUAGGAUAGCUCUAAUGGUGAGAUCUAAUAAGAUCCAGAUUUUAUUUUAAGGUCCCAAAAUAAGGACUCCAUUGGAGAUGCUCUAAUGAUGUAGUAUUUACCUUGAAUAACAUGAUAAUAAUUUAUAGAAUUAUUAAUGAGGUACCAUACCCAAAAAAAAUUUGAGGGUACCAUAGAAUUUACCAAAUUAUAAUCGUACAUGUGUGAAUAGGGCAGAGAAUUUCACCCAUAACAUUGGUGAAAAACAGUCCAUGGUGUAACGUACACAACAAUGUCUCUUUUCACGCAAAGGAAGUGGUGUUCUGAAGGCUAACAUUUUGUGUUUUGACUAGAUUGGCAAUUAGCCAAUAAUUAUGCUCAAUUUACCCACCACAUUCAAAACCUUAUGCAAAAGAAAACAAAAAUGACAAAAAAAAAAAAAAACACAUUUCAAGUGGAGCAUGAUAACAUCGCAUGUCUUACAAGUGAUAGGUUCAAGCCCACACUUAUUUCAUAUGAAAGGUUUUUCCUACCUUAAAUCAUGGCAACAUUCACUCACCCUAGAUUUUGUUAUUGACUUUGUAAGGAAAUUUAAUUUUAGUCAUUCUAAGAAAAACUUACGUUUAGUGACAGCCACUUUUAUAAUUAUUGACAAUUUUUUACCGUCACGAAGCGUUAUUUUUACUUAAAAAAAGACUAAAAUCAAAUCCUUAGAAAUUCAGAGAAUAAUUUAACCAUUAACCCUAAACCUAAAGUGUCUUGUUUUUUGGUAUAUUAAAUUGUUGUCAUAAUUUCGGUCGUGAAAGUCAAACGUUUUCGAAAAUGUAAUACCUAAAAAUUGAGCUUUCGACCUAGAUAUAAACAGUCAAUUUUUAACACUGCGAUCGGCACUCGAAAGUAUAGUGUGUUUGCUUUGCCUGAUGUGUAAGAAAGAAAGUUGAGAAAUAAUUGAAAUUGAAGAAAAGCUCCAAGUUGGUCAGCUUUCGAUUAUCAUCAUCGAAGAAUAAGCAACCAUCCACAUCUUGCUGCUGCUACUACCAAGCUAGCUAGCUCUUCUGUACCUCUCAUCUUCUUCUCUUAGACAUGGGUUCUUCUUCUAGUCGUCUCGGGUCUCGCUCUUCUCCUCCUCGGGUCAACAACAACCGCUUCAGACUAUCCUCUCUUCUCUGUGGAUCCUCCGCUUCCCGCUCUACAACUCCUCAGGUACCCGAUUUUCUUAAUACCCAUUUCGUUUUUACGCUUUUUCAUUUCGAAAGUUUGAUUUUUAUCAUCUGGGUUGGUCCAUUCGAUUUACUUUUGAAUUGGGUAGCUUUUGUUUUUGGGGAUGUAAGUAUAAAAUUGAUUUGCUAAAAGUCCAAUCAAUUGUGCUUGACUUAUAUAGAUAAAGCAAUUUUUGUGAUAGACUGAUAGUAUUUGGCUUUUUUGUUAGCUGAUUGAUUACAUCAUUUGAAAAAAAAAAUUGAUUGUGUGAGAAUAUUGUGAGCUUGGUUAUAUAAUUAUAGUUUGUAGGUUCUAUUGAUUAUCAUAGGAAUCUGAUAGUUUGCUAGUUGAUUAAUACGGUUUGACGCAUAUGAGCCUAACUAAUCUAUGAAAUUAUCUGCUGGUGCCUGUGGUAGUGUGGUAUAAUUCUUUAUCACAAAUUUGGAUUUAGCUUGUUUUAUUAUUUUAUUGUAUUCACUAGGUGAUUGAUUCAUGGAACGGUUCAAGUCUCUUCGGUCUUGAAAGAUUAAAAUUUCACUCGUUACUAGUUUUUUUAUUUUAACUUUUUUCUUCAUUGGCACUCCUUUACUUUCCAAUGAUUUGAUGAACUUCUUUAAGUUUUAGAGUCAUGUUGAUCCUAAUAAGUUUAUGCAUCUCAGCAUCUAUUCAAGGGUGAAUUUGGAAAAUCGUAUUUGUUCUUAACUUGUUGAGUAUUGUUUCAAGGAAAACUGAAUGCAUGAGUAUGUAUGACUUGAAAAUUUAUCCACAAGCCAUUUUAUCUGGUCUCACACAAGCGAUAAUUUGUGGAUGCUGGAUAGCCGUUAAAUAGAUACUGGGAGUGACUGAUACAGGAAAUUACAUUCUUACAUUGUGUUUUUAGAUGGAAGAACGUCCAUCUGAGCUUCAGGUUGGUUCGGCAAGAGAUUUUGAUGAUGAAAUUCAGAAAGCAGCCUCUGAGGAAUCGUCUUUAUCAUGUACAGAAGCUAGAACUAGCUAUUGUCCCCGUGCUGAAACUUCAACCUCAUCUGAUAUGGGAGUUGAGUUCUGUGGUGAUAAAACCGUUGAAGGUUCUUCCAGAAAUGUUGCAGCAAAUAGUCAGAGGAAGUGUUUGUCUGAACGUCAGGAGCUAGUUCCUCCUUAUCAGGUAAGCGCCGAUAAUAGUCGUCAUGAAUCAUAUAGUGAUAGUAGCAACACAGCUAGUACUUCAUCUGUUGAACAUCAGUCUUCAGAUCCAGUUUCUAUAAGUGUUUCUGCUAACAAGGAUGCAGUCAAUAAUGUUGAUGAUCCAGUGUUUAGUGGUAUCUGUCAAACCUCUCGUGACACGAUGUAUCCAAGGAGUUCAACCCCUCAAGAGCGUGGAAAUACCAGUUCUGAUGAAAUUUCUGUUGAGAAUCACACUGGUGCAUUCACAUCUAUCCAGAGUGCUCCUUCCAAUCCUGUUGCUCAAGUUUCCAAUAUAAUGGCAAUUUCUCAAGUGCCAGAAGAUGAACCUCUUCGCGAGGCAAUACCUUCAGGUUUAGGUUUUCUUGUGUCCAAUCGGGAAACAGGGCAGGGAGAUGAUAGCGUGAUUCAAGUUGACGUGGUCACAAUAUCUUCCAACAUUUUGUCAGCAAGCAAUGCAGAUGCCAAUGAUCAUGAUUCCAGAAGAAAUGGUAGAAGAUUAUUUUGGGAUGCUUUUUCACGACGUAGCUCUGGAAGGCUUGGUGAUUCUCCGACCAUUGUCUUCUCCAGUGGAGGUGCUGAUGAUACAGGAUCUCAAGAUCGAUGGCUCAUUGAUUUUAGCGGUGAUUUACCAAAUGAUAGGGUUGGGGAUGAUGCUGGAAAUCCUGGUCGUAGAACUCAUAGAUCGAGUGAACGAAUGCGGCACCCAAGAUCUGAGGUGAUUCUGAAUAUUUGGAGUAUAGAAUGCUUUAAAUUGUUUAUGUCACCUACUUGCAUUUAUUAAAUGGGCUUGUGAUCCCUUUCAUGUAACAUAAGCUGUUUACAUUUCUUUAUAUAGAUUUGGGAAAGGCUUCGUGGUGGCCUUGAUGAGAUUGGUCGGUUGAAUUCUUCAUGUCCAUUAGGACUCCAUGCUGAUGGUAUGUGCUCAUGCGAGUCUUUCCCAAUGGCUGAGGAAUCUAGCACUCGAGCAAGCAUUUCAAGAAUAGUCAUGCUGGCUGAGGCUCUGUUUGAGGUUUGAACCUUCUCUCCAGUGUCUUUUUUUUUUCUCCUAGAUUUAAUUAAAUUGAGUUUUCCAUCCAUCCUUAUCCCUUGUGUUUCCUGCUCUAUGAAUUUUAAUUUUAUCUCUAAAUUUCUGCGUUUGGUUUAAACAUGGUACUUGCUGAUUGGCAGUUCAAUCUGAUACCGUUGAUAGGGCAGUGUGCUUACUGCAUAAGAGCAUUUCAGGAUGCUCUCAUGCAUUUGAUUUUCUUCUUUUUGGCCUCUUUUCUACGAUAUCAUAACUUCCUGAUGAUUGAGAUUAUCUAAUUUUGAAUUUCAUAAUUAAAAGUUAGGUCUUUGACAAUCUAAUAUUGGACUGCUUCUAUUGUGCAGUUUCUCUGUAGUGAAAAACAGUUCUUUAUUCCUCUUGCAGUAGGUCUGCAGAUGUCUUGUAGCAUUUGGGUGUCAUCUGGUGUUUUAUUUUAUUUUAUUAGAAGUACAUCAUUUCAAUCUAGCUUUGCAUUGGCGACUUUUCAAAGGGGGGCGGGUUGCACCUCUCACUACUCGGUAAAUUAAGAAUGAAUAUAAUGAAAUGUCCAAUAUGAUCAAAUUAUUCAGAAUGUUAUUAUGUUCUGUAUUUUAAAGUAUGUUUGAGUUCUUGUCAUCAUGCCCACCACAGCUUGAUUGGGUAUAUCAUAAUACUCAGAGUCACAGGCUCACCCUUGUAAGGUGGUCUUCAUAUUCUGAACCAGAUCCCUCCUUUUCAAUUGUCUGCAGUACUUUUUUGUGUAAUAAUUUCAUUUCAUUCACUUAGAUGUAAAAUCUAGCUUGGUUUGUCUUUCAAAAAAAAAAUAGUACCUUAAAUGGAAGCCAGUUCCUGUAACUGAAGGCUCUUCAGGUCAUGAAUGGUGGUAGGCAUGUGUUAUUAUGCUCGGUACACAGAUGCUUUGAGCUUAAAGAACAGUGUUUUCCAUGAUGAAUCAUAAUUGAUUUGAACCUAUUAUUUUCUGGUUACCUGAGAUAUCCGUCUUUAGGUAUAAUUAUCUGGCCAAAAAUGGUUCUAUACUUUACUAUUGGAUUAUGAGAACUGAAAUGCCGAAAGCAAUUUACAUAGGGCAGCAUAUUUUUCCUCUGCAGGUUUUAGAUGAAAUCCAUCGGCAACCUGGAUCACUUUCCCUAUCCAUGGUCUCACUCCCCGCACCUGAAUCAAUUGUUGACUCCUUCCCUCUGAAGUCUCACAAAAAGGGCGAUGCAGCUAAUGGAGACAAUGAUGCUGAACAGUAAGCCUUUAGAUCCCUAUUAUCUUAAGCAAAUAUGUUUGGAUGAAUAAUAUAUGUGGUAGUAUGGCCAUAGUUAAGUGUGUGUUUGGAUACUAGUCGAGUGUAAUGUGAAUGAACUUUCAUGAGUUUCAUCUCAAUCCAAAAGAAAGUUCCAUUCACUUUUUGUUUCGAAGUGAGUACUAGCGUCCGUGUGCACAAGUGUCAACGUGUAAUCCAAGCAUAGCCUAACUAGUUUUUCACUUAUGUAGUCUGUCAGUGUGGUUAUGAUACUUUUUUUUUGUUGGUUUUGAAUGCUUGAAAAGUUCUUCCUUCUCCCACUAUUAUCAAAAUUUAAUAAAUGAAUUUUGUAGAUGUCACAUAUGCCUGGCUGAGUAUGAAGAAGGGGACCAAAUACGAGUUCUUCCUUGCAACCAUGAGUACCACAAGUUGUGUGUUGACAAGUGGCUUAAGGAAAUACAUGGGUAUUGUCACUGUAACCAAAAAUCGUUCAUUCUUUUCAUAUCUAUCAAUUUCCAUUACAUAAAUAACCAUUUUUUUCUGCUUCCCUCUUUUACAGUGUGUGCCCUCUUUGUCGUGGCAAUGUUUGUGGAGAGUUGUCUGCUACCUACUCAGUAGUGCAGUCUCAAUGAUAUUGUGUACAUAGAUGUAAAUAUUCAACUAUAGACUAAAGUACCAUCUGGGUCAUCUAAAGAUACACCUAACAUCAAUUUGAUCCUUCAAAUAUUUUUAUCAUCAAUACGGUUCGAAUUGAUGUCACAUCAAAUUGGAUGGAAGGAUUAUUUUGUCGUCGCUUUAAAUUUUCAAAGAACUAAUUGGAGAUCACAAUUAUUUGAAAGACUAAAUUGGUUUGAAGUGUAUUUUAGUCUAAAAUCAAUGUCACCCUUGGGCCUUGGCAAUCAUAUCUAUAAACCCUUAUAUUUAAACUGUGUUGGGAUGUUUUUUCAUCAACCAAAACAAGAGGGGAUUGACUACAAAGGAAACGGGGAAAAAAGAAAGAAAGAUAGAUUAGGAAUAUAGUUAAGAAAUGGUGCAAAAUCUUUGUUUCCUCCCCAUUUCACCCCAACAUAGAAAAUGCAUGUUUGUUUUUAAGUUUAAAUCCACAGUUUGGAGCUUUGAAAUUCUAAAUCCUGAAUUCUCAUGGCCCCCAACAUGAAAGGGACUUUAGCCUUUUGUUGGUGUUUAACUGAGAAACAAACAUGUAACAUGGUCUUGGGGGGGAAUUGAUUGGGAAUGGUUCCUCUCAAGUUCUAUUCGCCUCUUGUACAUUGUUAAUUUCCAAAUAAGAAAUUGUUUUUCUUCUCAUUAUUGCUUUUGUUCCCUUCAUUAUCUAUCAUCCAAGCACGGUUCAAGUACAGUAGUUAUAUCAUGAGCUUGUGCUCUAUGCAAGAAUCCAUUUUAUGAUGAAACUUGUUUGGAUCUAUAGUAUUUGUUCUUCAGACUCCCAUCUAGGAAACAUCAAACUAAAAUUUUUUUGAUUUGGCAAUGUUGCAAGGAAAAUAAAUUUCAACGAAAGGAAUAAAACAGACAAUCAAAUUAUGCAUUUAAAAUUGUAAGGUGAAAAAAAAUGGCUUAGCACUAGAAAUGCUUGAUAGUUGAUAGAACUGUGAAAAAGACUAAUACCAUCAAAGUAAGAUUGUCAAUGAAGAUCUAGACAGUACUUACAAGUCUCUUUGCUUGCCUUAACAAUAUAACAACAAAUACUUUACUGCAUAUGGAUUUCCUAGAGAAGCUGAUUCAGACUUCAGCUUAAUCUAGUUCCACUUGCUCUCUCCAUAACCAUGAGAAAAUGGAUUGAUGUUACUGCUGCGAGCUGAAUUAUCAUGAUGAACAAAAAGAUUUGGAUGAAUAUUUUCAUCAUCCUCAGAUGUUGUCCACCGCCUUGAGUUGCUGCCAUGUUUUUCUCUAGCAACAUUGCGCAUGUUCUCCAUCUCUCCUACAUGGUUUUUGAAUUCCUUCUUCACCACGUCCAGCACCACAUCACCGUAUCUGUCACACCAUGAUCUUCAACACACAAAAGAAACACAAGAAAGUACACAGUAAGUAACACUAAUCCUCUGAUCUCAGACUGUAUAAAGUGUCAAGUGAUCCAAAAUUGAAACAUGAAAAGUGGGGUUAUGUUGACUCACUUAGGAAAGUAAUUUUUCAAAUCAGCCUUGUCCACUGGAAUUCUAGUAGAAAUUGCUUCCAUCUGAUCAUUCCUGAUAUCACAACAAAUGCAGCCAAAAGUAAGUAACAUUUCUAAGCAAAGAACUAAGUGCGUGUUUGGAUACAUGGUGAGCUAAAAUCACUAUGGAUGGAAGUAAUUUCCCUUAGCUUUUGUGACUGUUCACCGUGAUCUUAGUUUUACAGCUAUUUUCCAUAGUGUAUCCAAACAUGCACUAACUAAUAUCAGUUUUCCAAAUGCAAGGAAAGUAAUUACGAGAAUUUAAGAUUUGGGUUUGUGCUGCUAAGUUCUGUCUGGAUUCUUGUCAGCUCCUUCUUUAUCUUGUCUCCCAAAACCUAUUCACAGUGAACAAGAAUUUUGUUUAACAUGUCCAAAAAUUAGCUCAAUUUCAAAAGGAAAUUAGAUUGAAAUAUAGAAAGAGAUGAUGGAUGAAGGAUCUAAAACCUUAUCUAUGAAGAAAUCAGAUGGAGAACCAUCAGAAUGUAACUUCUUCUUCAACAACUUGGUGUCUGGUCCCUCUCCAUGAACUCUUGCAAGAGACUGGGAGGAAGCUGAGUGUCCCCCACUAUCAGACCUCUCAUUCAGAGGCAAUGGAGCAGUCUCAUCAUCUGCCUCAUUUCUCUUCCAUCUCUUGAACCCAUCAAACCCCCAUUGCUUCUUCACUGGUUUCCCUGCUCUUUGCUCUGGCUCAGGACCACCACCACCACUUCCACCACCAACUCCCUCCCUCUGCUCCCUGUGAAAUAAAGUCCUAAAUGGCUUCCUCUUCAACUUCUCCGAGCCACCGGUUUCCUUCACAGCUUCCGGGGGCCCACUUUCCUCCAUGAGAAUUGUUGUACCUUCACUUUUAUUGCCAUUAGGCUCAGCAUUCCAAAAAGGGUUUUCACUGGAUUGCCUCAAUUGCAAAGAAGGUGAUUCAAAAGCACUCUUCUCCACCCCAUUUUUCCCAGGUUUGUGAGGAGAAACAAAGCCGAAAACCGAGGCUGCCCCUUUAAUCUGCUUCAAACCCGACCCCUGAUUCGAUUUUCCCUUACAAUUCAAAUUCUCCUUGUUCAUCUUCAAUCCCUUAUCAUCCUUCAAAUCAAUAACCGACCACUCUUCCUCCGAAAUCUCUCUAGGCCUCACUGCCCUCACACCAACGAUCACAUCCUUAGCCUCAAUCUGAGCACCUUGAACAGCCAAUCUCUGAAGCAAAGGUCUCUUAGAAGAAUGAUACUCUUCUUCAGAAACACACUUUGCAUACAGAAGCUCCUGCAGAAACAGAAGCUUGUCUCUGAGUAUAACAGGAUGCUCUUGUUCCGGAGGCGAAGCGAUGAGAGUCUCGAGCAAGUGGGUUCUGAAAGCUGAAACCUCAGUUUCAGCCACAAUGCCUUCUUCGUGAAGACCCAUCAAGUUCAAAAUCUGGUGGAAAGACUCCUGCUGCCAUUUGAGGUUGUCGGAUUGCAGCUUCGACAACCUUUGCUCUGCUGAGAGCAAUGAUCGUUUCUUGAAGCUGAAAGGGAGAAGGGUCUUGCAGAGUGAGGUGAUUGAGUCAUGGAGUGUUGAGUAGUAGGUUGGUGUGUAGUUUGAGUACACCAUUUUUUUCUGAAUCUUCGGAUUGUUGAAUUGGAUGUGUCUGUUAGAAUUUCUAGCUUAGAAAAGAACUCAACUCUUGGUGGUGUGUCUGUGUUGUUUGUUUUCCUGGUUUUGAAUUUUUGAGACGAUGCUCUCAAACGGUCACUUUGAUAUGGAAACUAGCCGUUGAAGACUGUGAAUGAAUAUUAUUUCAUUCAGGUAGCGCUUAUAACAACUAAAUUUUGAAAAAUAAAAGAGAAAAAUGAUGAUGCACCGACACCGUCAACCAAUCAGAUUUCAAUGAUGUGCCACGUCAAUUAAUGAAAUUAAAUAAAAAGAGAGAUUUUCUCACAUCCUUGAAAACUGAUUGGUUGACGGUGAAAAAAAUUUUACACUGCACUGUCAGUGUGUAAAGUUUAAGUGUUAUAAUCUAAGCCAUUGAUUUUGAUCUAAGGGUAGAAAAUCAAUCAUCUCACUCUCACAUAAGAAAUCUCUCUCUCACUAGAUACAUCCUCUAUAUAUAUAUAUAUAUAUAUAUAUAUUUAAAUUUCGCAUUUAAGUCAUAAUUUUACAUAUAAAAUGAAAGUUAAUAUGACUAAAUACUUUAUAUCAUAACUAAACUCUAAAUUAUUUGAUAUUAAUUUUCAUCUUAAACCAUUUCAAACCAAACAGUUAGCGUAGUAAUUCAGCAUAACGAAGGAGACGACAGUUCGAUUCUAAACUCUUAUGAAUGAAAAAAUAAAUGUGGAGAAAGAAUUAGUCUCACAACUAUGAACAAUUUAUUAUUGCACUAAAAAAGCUCCAUUCACAUGAAUUAAAUAAAAUAUAGAAAUAUUAAUAUGAUAAAUUAAAAUUAAUUACAUUUUUUUGUUUCUCAUUUUUUCUUAACAAUGGUUUCUCAUUUCUUAAAAUAUCUUCAACAUUUAAGUCAUGUUUGAUUGCAGUUUUUGAAAACACCAUUUAAAAAUUGUUUUUAGAGAUUAUUUUUUAAAGUGGUUUUUCAAAAAAAAAAAACUGUUUGAAUUAGAUAUUUUCCAACAUUAAAAAAAUUACAAUAUGAAAAAUAAAAACUGAAAUAGAAAACAUCUUUUAGUUGUUUUGGUAUUUUAGUUUUAAAAACUGAAAUUAAGAACUGUUUUCGAAAACAGUUUUAUAUUAUUCAUCUAAAAAAAGUUCGCAGAGGGGGCGUCCAAAAGGGAGUAAGAAUAAACCCAUAGCAUUGCCGAAUAAUUUUCUAGAGCCAAUUCCAAGUGAAGAUGGGGUGACAACGCGUUCGCAUAGAGCAUGGUUGAUCGGAAAGGAGUUGGGACUAAAACCACGCUGAUCAGAAGCUUUGAUGCUGAGAGGUUUAGAAGCUCAAAUCCGUGAAAAUCACCCUCACCUCAAUUGAUAUGUCGGGGCCUUGGCUCACAUGGAAUGUGCGUGGGCUAGGCGGAACUACGAAAAGAGAGGCUGUCAAAAAAGCACUUCAGCAAUUGAAACCAGAAUUGAUUCUAUUACAAGAAACAAAAUUGAAUGAGCAGAGGCAACGAACAGUUGAACAGUGGACGCAAAGUUUGCAGAUGAAUCAUGUCGAGGUUCAGUCAGCGGGAGCAGCAGGUGGCCUAAUGUGUCUGUGGAAGGAAAGCAGUUUUCAAGUUCAGUCAAUGGUGACAUACACUAAUUUUAUUUUUUUGUCUGUAAAAGUUCCAAAUUAUGAACACCCAGUUCUAGUGGGGAAUGUUUAUGGUCCCCAUUCUUUGCCGGAACGUAGAGUAUGUUUUGAGGCCUUGAAAGUGCAUGUGCUAAGUCAUACAGGUAUGAUGUUUCUUGGGGGCGAUUUUAACGCUGUUCUACUAGGAUCGGAGCGGUCUUCAGAAGGAGUUCUUGAUGUAGGCGAUGUGGUUUUUCAACAAUUUGCCACUGAUACUAACUUAUCAGACCUACCCCUGCUAAAUGGCAAGUACACGUGGUACUCAAGUCGCAACGAUGGCCUAUGGAGUCGAUUGGACAGAUGGCUCGUGUCUGACGAGGUGAUGUUAUCUUUUUCGAAUAUUUCACAAUCUGUUUUUGCAUGGAAUGUUUCUGAUCAUAGAGUUGUAGGUUUGGUGUUUGGUGAACCUGACUCUGGCCCUAAACCUUUCCACUAUUUUAAUCAUUGGGUGGAUGACGAUGGAUUUUAUGAGGUGGUCGAAAAUUGGUGGAGGUCCGCAAUUUACCAAGGUUGGUCGGGAUAUAUUUUGCAGCAAAAAUUAAAGGGUUUGAAGGGGAAAAUAAGAGAGUGGCGCAAGGGGAAAGGGGUGUGGGGGGUGGAAAAAAUUAUGUGCUUAGAGAAUAAAUUGCAGGAAGUGAUGGGGGCAAUGGAGGAGCAAGGGGGGGCGCAGUCUUUGUCUAAGGAGAGGAGGGAGAUUUUGGAAGCUCUAUGGAAAGCAUACCGCAAGGAGGAAAGAACUUGGCGUCAGAAAUCAAGGGUGCAGUGGUUGAAGGAGGGUGAUCGGAAUACAAAGUACUUUCAUCGCAUCUGUAAGGCAAGAAUAGUAAAAAAAAAAUAUUACCCAGUUAAGUUAUCAGGGAAGAGACUUAACUACCCCAGGGGAAAUCAAAGAGGCUAUGCAGGAUCAUUUUCAGAAUUUUUUCAGGAUGGCAGCUGUUACUAGGCCUUGUUUUCAUAAUCAGAACUUGAAAAAGGUGUCUGAAUCAGAAAAUCAAUUUUUAGAAGCUGAUUUUUCACUUGAUGAAAUAUGGGAGGCUAUUAAAAAUUGUGAUGGAAAUAGAGCUCCUGGACCUGAUGGAUUUAGCAUGGAUUUUUUUAAAAAACACUGGAAUCUAGUGAAGGAAGAUUUGAUGAACUUUUUUAAUGAUUUUCCCCAUACAGGGCAUCUUGUUAAGGGUUUGAACUCGACUUUCAUUGCGCUUAUUCCAAAAGGUGAUCUCCAGGAACAUAUUUCUGAUUACAGACCUAUCAAUUUGAUUGGCAGUGUGUACAAACUGUUAUCUAAGGUGUUAUCAGUACAUCUGAGUUCAAUCCUUCCUAGGCUGCUAAGUCAGAAUCAGUUUGCUUUCACAGCAGGACGUCAGAUUGCUGAUUGUUCUUUGAUUGCAAAUGAGAUUGUCCACUCUAUGAGUUCGAGGCCGCAAGGAGGUUUGUUAUUUAAAAUUGAUUUUGCAAAGGCUUAUGAUAGUGUUGAAUGGGGUUUUCUGUUGGAGCUCUUACAAGAGAUGGGGUUUGGGGAAAGAUGGAUUAGGUGGAUGUACUGCUGUAUUUCUUCAGCUACUUUGGCGGUUUUGGUAAAUGGUUCACCGUCUGAUUUCUUUUCAAUUGAAAAGGGCUUGAGGCAGGGUGAUCCUCUUUCUCCUCUUCUUUUUAACAUCGUUGCAAAUGGGAUGUCUUGCAUGUUAAACCAACUAUCAGUGAGGGAUAUCCCAUGUGGGGUGGAAAUAGCUCUAGGGCUUCGUCUCAAUCAUUUACAGUUUGCUGAUGAUUCAUUGCUUUUUACAGAUUGCGAUCAAAACCAGUAUGAGGAGAUGGCUUUGGUGGUAGAAACCUUUUUGUUUGUUUCAGGUUUAAAAAUAAAUUUCAGAAAAUCAGAAGUUUAUGGUGUGAAAGCGCCCCCCAACACUGGUACAAUCAGCAGCAAAUUGGUGGAAUUUCAAGGUUGGAUCAUUACCUUUUAUGUACCUUGGUUCACCUCUAGGAGGUAGUCCUAGGAGAUUGUCGUUUUGGAACCCAGUUCUGGAGAAAUUGGCGGCCAAGCUUUGCACUUGGAAUUCACGCUAUCUAUCACUAAGCGGCAGGUUAGUACUUGUUAAAUCUGUUUUGAAUGCCAUCCCCUUGUAUUACAUGGCACUUUAUAGAGCACCGAAGGGGAUUAUCUUGAGAAUAAAGAGGAUUCUGCGUCGUUUCCUGUGGGGAGGUGUUUCUGGCGAAAAUAAAAUUAUGUGGGUAGAAUGGGAGGAUUUGUGUAAGGGAUCUCGGUAUGGUGGUCUUCGGGUGGGGUUUUUAGAGUGGAAAAAUAAGGCAAUGUUAUUGAAAUGGAUAUGGCGUUUUGGGCGGGAAAAGAAUGCCUUUGUAAGAUCAAGUUUUGAUCUAGUAGUACAACUCUAUGUUUUGAUGAUUACAAGUUAACCUUUUGAUAUGAACAAUUGUGGUACUCUAACGUAUUUUUCUGAGUGUGCUAUUCACAGGCUCUGACCUCAACUCAAUCUCACACAAAUCAGAAGCACUGUGUAUAAAGAGCGACCCAAGCAACGCUUUCGCAUUCACCAUGUUCAGUAUGAACAGUGGAAAAGCUUCAGAAGUUCUGAAGUUAUACAAACUCUGAUGUGGACUCAGUCACUAGAAGUUCUGAAGAUCCAGAAAGUCUGAUAACCAAGAAACACUGAAGGCUCAGAUAUUCUGAUGGUGUAGAAGACUCUGAAGAUCCAGAAGCUGAUUAGUGAAAUUCUGAUGUCCAGAAGCAAGAUACUCUGAAGACCAUGUUCUUCCCUCUGAGUUCAGAAUCAGAAGAAACAAUGGUCAGAGGAUCUGGGCUUUCCCUCUGACUCUGAUCAACCGGCUUCACAAGUUCCAAUAUGAAGCAUUCCCCUGAUCAGAUGUCUCCUAGGUUUAAAGGUCAAGUCGCUAUCCAAGUACAAAAGCAACUGUACCUUCCUGACGACCUACCUAACAGUCUCAGACAUAGCAGAAGCUGGAUUUUCCAGAACUGCCCUCCAACGGUAGCAUUUUCCAUGCAACGCUCAACCCUAAUCCUUGGAGUAUAUAAAGAGGCUGAAGACUGAAAGAAGCGGCUAGAAGCAUUCACAUACGCGCAAGACAUAUUCAAAUUCUUCUAACCUUUCUUUCAUCUGAAAUUCAUUGAGUUUACUAUUAGCUUUUUAGAAGCAAAUCCCUUGUAAACAAUUCUUUGAUAAACAGUUUGUUUAGUUCCUUUAGGAGAUCAAGGUUGAUCGGAUCCUAGAGAAGACUAAGAGAGUGAAUCUUAGUGUGAGCUAAGUCAGUGUAAUUGUUAGUCACUUGUAGGUUUCAAGUGCAGUUGUAACUCUUACCUGAUUAGUGGAUUGCCUUCAUUCUAAGAAGGAAGAAAUCACCUUAACGGGUGGACUGGAGUAGCUUGAGUGAUUUAUCAAGUGAACCAGGAUAAAAUCCUUGUGUGCUUUUCUAUCUCUUAUCUUUAGCACUUAAGUUCUCGAAAGAUUUGUCAAAAUCUUUAAGGUGGAAGCUUUAUCUUGAAAACGUUAUUCAAACCCCCCCUUUCUACCGUUUUUCAUACCUUCAAUUGGUAUCAGAGCGCAAGUUCUGAUUACCACACCUAACAGUGUUCAGUGAUCCGGGCCGGUGUGAAAAACAAUGGCUGCCACCACCAGUGAAACUCAAAGAGAUGGUUACAAUGCAAAGCCUCCUAUGUUCGAAUAUUGGAAAGAUAGACUGGAAAGUUUCUUUCUGGGUUUCGAUGCAGAUCUCUGGGAUAUUAUUGUGGAUGGCUACGAGCGUCCAGUUGAUGCAGAUGGCAAGAAGAUCCCAAGGUCAGAGAUGACUGCAGAUCAAAAGAAGCUGUACUCACAACAUCACAAAGCAAGAGCAAUUCUUCUAAGUGCUAUUUCCUAUGAAGAGUACCAGAAGAUUACAGAUCGUGAGUUUGCGAAAGGCAUUUUCGAAUCUCUGAAGAUGUCUCAUGAAGGAAACAAGAAAGUCAAAGAAUCAAAGGCAUUGUCUUUGAUCCAAAAGUAUGAAUCCUUCAUCAUGGAGCCAAAUGAGUCCAUUGAAGAAAUGUUCUCCAGAUUUCAGUUGCUUGUAGCUGGCAUACGACCUCUCAACAAGAGCUACACAACAAAAGAUCAUGUCAUAAGGGUCAUCAGGUGUCUUCCUGAAAGUUGGAUGCCUUUAGUGACUUCAAUAGAGCUCACGAGAGAUGUUGAGAAUAUGAGUUUAGAAGAACUCAUCAGCAUUUUGAAAUGCCAUGAGCUGAAGCGCUCAGAGAUGCAAGAUCUGAGGAAAAAGUCCAUAGCCUUGAAAUCUAAAUCUGAAAAGGCUAAGGCUGAGAAGUCAAAAGCUCUUCAAGCUGAAGAAGAGGAAUCUGAAGAAGCAUCAGAAGAUUCUGAUGAAGAUGAGCUGACUCUGAUCUCCAAGAGACUCAAUCGCAUCUGGAAGCACAGGCAGAGCAAAUACAAAGGCUCUGGAAAGGCAAAAGGAAAGUCUGAAUCCUCAGGUCAGAAGAAGUCCUCACUUAAGGAAGUCACAUGCUUUGAGUGCAAAGAAUCAGGGCACUACAAAAGUGACUGUCCAAAGUUGAAGAAGGACAAGAAGCCAAAGAAGCACUUCAAGACAAAGAAGAGUCUGAUGGUGACAUUUGAUGAAUCAGAGUCAGAGGAUGUUGACUCUGAUGGUGAAGUCCAAGAACUCAUGGCUAUUGUCAAAGACAAAGAAGCAGAGUCAAAGGGAGUUGUUGACUCUGACUCAGAAUCAGAAGGAGAUCCUAACUCAGACGAUGAAAAUGAGGUAUUCGCUUCUUUCUCUACCUCUGAACUGAAACAUGCAUUGUCUGAUAUCAUGGAUAAGUAUAACUCCUUAUUGUCUAAGCAUAAGAAGCUGAAAAAGGACUUAUCUGCUGUUUCCAAGACUCCUUCUGAACAUGAGAAAAUUAUUUCUGAUUUGAAAAAUGAUAAUCAUGCUUUGAUCAAUUCUAACUCUGUGCUUAAGAACCAGAUUGCUAAGUUAGAAGAAAUUGUUGCUUGUGAUGCCUCUGAUUGUAGAAAUGAGUCUAAGUAUGAAAAGUCUUUUCAAAGAUUCCUAGCUAAAAGCGUGGAUAGAAGCUUAAUGGCUUCAAUGAUCUAUGGCGUAAGCAGAAAUGGAAUGCAUGGCAUUGACUAUUCUAAACCAAUUAGAAAUGAGCCCUCUGUGUCUAAAGCUAAAUCCUUGUAUGAAUGCUUUGUUCCCUCUGGUACCAUAUUGCCUGAUCCUUUACCUGCUAAAGUUGCUAAAAACCCUCUUAAAAAGGGAUCCUUCUCUAUGUCUAAAUAUCAUGCAAAUAUUCCUUUAAAAUAUCAUGUUGAGACACCCAAGGUGAUCAGAACCUCUGGGGUAACUAACAAGAAAGGACCCAGAAAGUGGGUACCUAAGGACAAGAUUAUCUAUGUUGCAGAUAUCCUUGAUAGCUCCACUGAAACACCAAUCAUGGUAUCUGGACAGUGGAUGCUCGCGUCACAUGACGAGAGAAAGACGUAUGUUCCAAGAGCUAAAACUUAAGCCUGGAGGCGAAGUUGGCUUUGGAGGAAAUGAAAAGGGUAAAAUUGUUGGUACUGGUACUAUUUGUGUAGAUAGUAGUCCAUGCAUUGAUAAUGUGUUAUUGGUAGACGGCUUAACACAUAACUGCCGGGCUGUAAGUCAGAUCGAUGGCUCUGUUCUGUUUAACAGCAAGAGGAAGAACAACAUUUAUAAGAUCAGAUAAUCUGAGUUGGAGGCUCAGAAUGUGAAGUGCCUUCUGUCUGUUAAUGAAGAGCAGUGGGUAUGACAUAGACGGUUAGGGCAUGCCAGUAUGAGAAAGAUUUCUCAGCUGAGCAAGCUAAACCUUGUCAGGGGCUUACCCAAUCUGAAGUUUGCUUCAGACGCUCUUUGUGAAGCAUGUCAGAAAGGCAAAUUCACAAAAGUCCCUUUCAAGGCAAAGAAUGUUGUCUCAACCUCAAGGCCGUUGGAACUUCUGCAUAUCGACCUUUUUGGACCAGUGAAAACUGAGUCUAUAGGUGGCAAGAGAUAUGGGAUGGUUAUCGUUGAUGACUAUAGCCGCUGGACAUGGGUAAAGUUUCUAACCCGCAAGGAUGAGUCUCAUGCUGUGUUCUCUACCUUCAUUGCCCAAGUGCAAAACGAGAAGGCUUGUAGGAUUGUGCGUGUCAGAAGUGACCAUGGUGGAGAGUUUGAGAAUGACAAGUUUGAGAGUCUGUUUGAUUCCUAUGGAAUUGCACAUGAUUUCUCUUGUCCCAGAACUCCUCAACAAAAUGGUGUUGUUGAGAGGAAGAACAGAACUCUUCAGGAGAUGGCUAGAACCAUGCUCCAAGAAACUGGCAUGGCUAAGCACUUUUGGGCAGAGGCAGUAAAUACAGCAUGUUACAUUCAGAACAGAAUCUCUGUGAGACCAAUUCUGAAUAAGACUCCCUAUGAAUUGUGGAAGAACAUAAAACCCAACAUUUCUUAUUUUCAUCCUUUUGGCUGUGUUUGUUAUGUUCUCAAUACUAAGGAUAGAUUGCAUAAAUUUGAUGCUAAAUCUUCUAAAUGUCUAUUACUUGGUUAUUCUGAGAGAUCUAAAGGUUUUAAAUUUUAUAAUACUGAUGCUAAGACUAUUGAAGAAUCUAUUCAUGUUAGAUUUGAUGAUAAGCUUGACUCUGACCAGUCAAAGCUAGUUGAGAAGUUUGCAGAUUUAAGCAUUAAUGUUUCUGACAAAGGCAAAGCUCCAGAGGAAGCUGAGCCAGAGGAAGAUGAACCAGAGGAAGAAGCUGGUCCCUCUAACUCACAAACUCUGAAGAAGAGCAGAAUCACUGCAGCUCACCCUAAGGAAUUGAUUCUGGGCAACAAAGACGAACCAGUCAGAACCAGAUCAGCCUUCAGACCCUCUGAAGAGACCUUGCUCAGUCUGAAAGGAUUGGUGUCCUUAAUUGAACCCAAGUCCAUAGAUGAAGCUCUUCAGGACAAGGAUUGGAUUCUGGCCAUGGAAGAAGAAUUGAAUCAAUUCUCCAAGAACGAUGUUUGGAGCUUAGUGAAGAAGCCUGAGAGUGUCCAUGUAAUUGGAACAAAAUGGGUAUUCAGAAACAAGCUGAAUGAGAAAGGAGAUGUAGUCAGAAACAAGGCAAGGCUAGUUGCUCAAGGCUACAACCAGCAGGAAGGAAUAGACUACACUGAAACAUUUGCUCCAGUAGCAAGACUGGAGGCAAUCAGACUGUUGAUCUCUUUCUCAGUGAAUCACAACAUAGUUCUACAUCAGAUGGACGUGAAGAGUGCCUUCCUAAAUGGUUAUAUUUCAGAGGAAGUCUAUGUUCAUCAACCCCCAGGUUUUGAAGAUGAGAAGAAGCCAGACCAUGUGUUCAAAUUGAAGAAGUCACUCUAUGGUCUGAAGCAAGCUCCCAGAGCAUGGUAUGAGAGACUCAGCUCAUUCCUUCUGGAGAAUGAGUUUGUAAGGGGUAAAGUAGAUACAACUCUUUUUUGCAAGACUUAUAAAGAUGAUAUCUUAAUAGUGCAAAUUUAUGUUGAUGAUAUUAUAUUUGGUUCUGCUAAUCAAUCUCUAUGCAAAGAAUUUUCUGAGAUGAUGAAGGCUGAAUUUGAGAUGAGUAUGAUGGGAGAAUUAAAGUACUUUCUGGGAAUACAAGUUGAUCAAACACCAGAAGGAACAUAUAUCCAUCAGAGCAAGUACACUAAAGAACUUCUGAAGAAGUUCAAUAUGCUGGAAUCUACAGUGGCCAAGACUCCAAUGCAUCCUACAUGCAUUCUGGAGAAAGAAGAUAAAAGUGGUAAAGUAUGUCAGAAGCUCUAUCGUGGCAUGAUAGGUUCACUUCUAUACUUAACUGCAUCUAGGCCAGACAUACUAUUUAGUGUUCAUUUAUGUGCUCGUUUCCAAUCAGAUCCAAGGGAAACCCACUUAACUGCUGUUAAGAGGAUCCUAAGGUAUCUGAAAGGCACCACUAACCUUGGCUUGAUGUAUAAGAAAACAUCAGAGUAUAAGCUUUCAGGUUAUUGUGAUGCUGAUUAUGCUGGAGAUAGAACAGAGAGAAAAAGUACUUCUGGAAAUUGUCAAUUUCUGGGAAGCAAUCUAGUCUCAUGGGCAAGCAAGAGGCAAUCAACCAUUGCACUAUCAACUGCAGAGGCAGAAUAUAUCUCAGCAGCAAUAUGCAGCACUCAGAUGCUCUGGAUGAAACAUCAGCUGGAGGAUUAUCAGAUCCUUGAGAGCAAUAUCCCAAUCUAUUGUGAUAACACUGCUGCAAUCUCAUUGAGUAAGAAUCCUAUCUUGCAUUCAAGGGCAAAGCACAUUGAGGUAAAGUAUCACUUUAUUAGAGAUUAUGUACAGAAGGGCGUACUUCUUCUGAAGUUUGUUGAUACUGACCAUCAAUGGGCAGAUAUCUUUACAAAGCCCUUAGCAGAGGAUAGAUUUAAUUUUAUUCUGAAAAAUCUGAACAUGGACUUUUGUCCAGAGUGAAGAUGGAUCAGAACCUCUGACUAUGAUACUUCUUGAUCAGAAGAUGUCUAGUCCAGAAGGUAACUCAAUCAGAGUGUGUGUACCCAUUGGUACGGACUCUGAAGCUGAGACAGCAACACGUGUGUCAGUAUUUCUGAUGCAUAGUUCCUUGUGCCCGUGUGACAGUCUGUCAUGUUGCGUGUAGAUGUGCUUCUCUCCUGUGUGUGAUAUGUGUAUUUACUAUUACUAUCUAUCUUUAAUUUUCAACCGUUGAUUUUAAAUUGCUUUUUGAAUCAACAACGGUUAUUUGUCAAAACCCACUAUACACACACGAUCUCCUUCACUUUCGGUUUUUACUCUCUCUCUCUUCUGCUAUUUCAAAACCGCUUACCCUCGAUUUCUCUCUCGAUCUCUCUUCAUCUUUCAACCUUCAUCUUCUACCUAAACCUUCAACCGCUCCAAAAAUGGUGAGUCAAACCAGAAGAGCUACUGCAGAUGCAACCCAGUUCCCUCAUAUGGUAGUUGGUCUAGCAACAGGUCAAAGGGGUCCUGAGAAUCCGAAUCAAGAUCAAGGUCAAGCUCAAGAGCAGAUUAUUCCGAUUGCAGAACGGGGCUGUGCCGUUCACUGCGUAUAUGCUCCUGAGGAACUUCAAGUACUGGCAGAAUGGAGAUUCGACCUCGACAACCUUGCUACAAAUGGGUAUGAUCUUCGUCCUGAAGUCCAAGCUCAAGGUUGGGGAAAUUACUUCAACAGGCUUCGAGGACCGGUGUAUGACAAACUGAUCAAGGAAUUCUGGAAGCACGCCGACUGCGAUGAUACUCAGGUGGUAUCUCACAUUCUUGGAAGGAAGAUCAUCAUUACAGAGAAGUCUUUCGUGAAUCUGCUGUGUGCAGAAACUGCUCUUGGGUAUCGUUUCCAAUUCACUGAAUCGAAGCUGAAACCCAAGACGAAGGAUGAGACCAACAAGGCCCUGUACACCAAUUACAAACCGGGCAAGACUAAUUACAAAGUGAUGGACCUUCAUCCCAAGCUCAGGAUCUGGCACAAGAUUUUGCUCAACUGCAUACACCAGAGACCAAAGGGCAGUUCCCCAGACUACAUCAACUUCAACCAGAAGGCGAUGUUGUUCUUCAUCCAAGACAAGAAGAAGAUCUGCCUUCCCUACUUCCUGUUCUCCUACUUGAAGGAGUGUAUCC
Molecule: long non-coding RNA, 31953 nt
Filed under: Lotus japonicus
Lineage: Eukaryota; Viridiplantae; Streptophyta; Magnoliopsida; Fabales; Fabaceae
Description: long non-coding RNA (LJAP_LNC001862)
Source: RNAcentral